Molecule: long non-coding RNA, 3123 nt
Organism: Myotis daubentonii (Daubenton's bat)
Lineage: Eukaryota; Metazoa; Chordata; Mammalia; Chiroptera; Vespertilionidae
Source: RefSeq, a predicted model, not a curated record
AGUGUGUUUCUAAUUCCUUCCAGCUCUCUAUACCAGACAGUAAUUUAAGGCUUAACCUCUGCAACUGAAACGUUAUGGAAGAGAGGACUCGCAAAGAAAAGAUGGAGUUCAUGGGAAGUGAGAGUUGGUCAAUUAAUUUGCCUUAGUGAGAGACACUACCACGUUUUGUGUUUUAUUUAUAAAGAAGGGAAUGUAUUCUAAGUGUCAAAUAGCCAUUAACUUUAGGAUCACAACCUUUUUGGAGGCUAAAGAUCACCAGUUUGUACCUCCAUAUAAGUGCACCCCAAGGUAAGUCCCUCCACAAAACCUCUGCCUCUGGUGGCUGACUGGCCGCGUGGUGUACUAAACAUGACUUCUGUGGGGAAGGAUCGCAGCACAGCGCAAAUCCAGGAGGGAGCCCUCACACAGGUGGUGCGAGUGGCCCGUUGCCUAGGCAGCAGAGGGCAUCUUUGGGGGCUGUCUGAGCCCACUCCUCAGAGUAACGCCAAGUUGGACAUUCGUUUCUGACAUCUCAAAUCCUGGGAACUUUUCUCAACCAGGUAUAUGCUUAUAAAGAUUUGCUACUACCCCCUGUUUCGAAGGUUUCUCUACUCACGUUUCCCCCUCUUAACUGAAAAGAUUCAAGAAUACGUCUCCAUACACAGGGGUGGAGGCUGACUAGCUGGCCAGCUUGAUUAAAUCUUCAAUCGUGUGGCUAUUAAAGUCACUGGUAACAUGGACGGGUCUGCUGCCCUAGAUGCCUUAGGUGUGUUUCCUCAUUCCACGUGCACAGUACCCCUUUGAGGUCCAUAUUGUGGUUAGGCCUUCUUUUCCAACAAGGAAACCAAGCAAGGGGCGGGAACGUUCAGGUAAAGCCCCCGUCACACAGCUGCGAGAUGAUGGUGGCGUGGCCGCGUGGGAGGCAGCACUCACACCUGUGAGUGGGAGUCAGCGCUUAAACCUGUGCCCGCCACCCCCCGCGCGUUCCAGGUGGGCCUUGGGACCAGACCCCACACACCGUCUCUAGGUCGAGGCCUGAGCAUGGUAACUCUGUGUCCGAAUCCUAGCUAACCUCCUGCUGGUGGUCUGGAUUGCUGGGGAGAACACCCACAGUGCCAGCAAGUGGGAGAGAAAGGAGCCUAUUUCCUGAGAAGAAUAAACCAGAGCGAGCGCUUCCUGCUUGGCCUCCGUCAGCUGUGAGAAGGACCCGUGUCUUCACCAAUGCUGUGAAGAAUGAAUAAGAAAACAUUUUCCUUAAGAUGUUGUUAUAAGCACAAAGAAGACAGGACUCAGAAGAUAUGAACAAGAAAUGCAGCUUCAGCACAGUCCCUCCCAGACAAAUGGAGAUGGUCUCCAGAUGGCGCACGGUGCUUCUAGAUGUGUGAAUGGGCCUCGCGGGCUGCACAACCCCCUGACUCAGCCUCCACCGUCCCCAGCCCUGAUCAAGUUACCAGCAGGCCCACGCCAGGGAGCGGCUGGCUGGGGUCCUGGCAGCACAAAACCUUUCCAGUUUCCCUAACAAUUUCCCCCUCAUCCUUGCAAUGUUUUGGCAGCUGUGGAGCCUCUUUUUCAAUUUGCUUUCAACUUGCCUAAUGCUUCAAGCCACAGGGGAGACCCAAAACCCUGCAGAACAUCCAGGAAUGCAAAGCAUUUGCAAUGAGUCACAGCUGCAGAGGUGCCAGCAAGGACCGAUCCAGACUUAGAGGGGGAAGAGGAAGGAGGGGCCUGUGGCAGCAGCUGCAGGGCCUGUGCUGCAGGCUGGACCCAGGGAAGAGGAGCAGUGGCAUUGGCUGGAAUGAGGAUAGAAAAUAUAUACAUAAGAGAAGAGCUGUAUGGGGACCACUCCUCCGAGGCACCCAUCCCCACCUGCUCCGUGUGGGGCUGUCGGCUCUUCUAGCCACAUUCUCCAAAUCCUAAAAAUUUCACAGGAAAAACCACCUUCUGGAAUAUAGAGAAUUGCAAGUUGGCGCGUGGAACAUGAUCCCUGGCCGUCCUCUAACCAACAAUCAUGAAGGGCGCAGCCCACUGGGCUUUGCAACACACUAUUUUAAGAUGCCCUUUAAAAACGCAGUGGGCGUUCUCUCCUGUGCCAACAGAGGGGCCAUUCAGUCGCUCUUUCUUGCUGCCUGGAGGUACUCCUCCCUUUAAGCCCUGGAGAGGGCAUUUGAUGUCAAAAACCUCGCUUUAACUUUUUAUUAGCUAUGAAUAAAGGAUACAUUUAUAAUUUUCAUCUAAAAUAUUAAAGACUCUGGAGAAUAAGAAGUUUCUCUCUCACUUCUGCCCACCUGGCCACCUGGCUCUCCAUCCCAGGAGCAAGGACGGAUACCCGCUUCUUGUGUAUUUUUCCGGAAUUGUUCUUUGCGUGUUCAAGCAUGUCUGAUAUAUGUACAUUUUGGUACCAAUAACAGAUGUUACACAAUGUUCCAUUCUUUGUUUUUAACAACCUUGGGAACCGUUUCAUAUCUGUACAAACAGGACUCUCUCGUUUAUUUAUUUUAACUAGAUAUUUAAACAGUACCCUGUUAAUACACAUGUUGGUUAUUUUCAGUCUUUCCUAUUACAGCUGUGCUUCAGUGAAUAUCUUUGAACAUAUAUCAUGGGCAGGUAUAUAUGUAGGUAAAAUUUCUAGAAAUGGGAUUGCUGUGUCAUGUUUUGGUAGAUAUUUUAUGAAAUUGCCCUCCUUGGAGACUAUACCGAUUUAUAUUCACAUACGUGGGAGGGCCCAUUUCCCCUAUUCCUCAGCACAGGGUUAUCCAACCUCUGUCAAUUGAGAGGUUAAAAAAUGGUAUCUUAUUGUCAUUUUACUUUGGUUUUUUCUUAUCGCAAGUGGCACUGAGCAUCUUUAUCAAUGUUUGCGAGCCCUGGCACGUUCUGUUCCGUGACCUGCCUUCUCUGCCCAUUCUCCACUGCACUGUCUGUUCUGAUCCCGUGGCAGGAUUCAGUCUCUUGUAGGUUGUCCGGCUGAGGGCUCAGCUCCUUGCCGUCUGGCUGCUGGGGCGACUGGAAGUUCCUUGCCCCUGGGCCCCUGCAUAUGCAGCUCGCUUCAUCAAAGCCAGCAAGGGAGGGCGUCCGCAGAGUCCACUAGCAAGAUGGAAGUUGCCAUCUUAUCCAUCUUAUGCAACGUACGAAAGAAGCAUUCCAUCG